GACGAACGCUGGCGGCGUGCUUAACACAUGCAAGUCGAACGAUGAUGCUGGAGCUUGCUCCAGUUGAUUAGUGGCGAACGGGUGAGUAACACGUGAGCAAUCUGCCCUUGACUCUGGGAUAACUGCGGGAAACUGUAGCUAAUACCGGAUACUUUCACCGGGGGGCAUCCUCUGGUGAUGAAAGAAUUUCGGUCAAGGAUGAGCUCGCGGCCUAUCAGCUUGUUGGUGAGGUAACGGCUCACCAAGGCGACGACGGGUAACCGGCCUGAGAGGGUGACCGGUCACACUGGGACUGAGACACGGCCCAGACUCCUACGGGAGGCAGCAGUGGGGAAUAUUGCACAAUGGGCGAAAGCCUGAUGCAGCAACGCCGCGUGAGGGAUGAAGGCCUUCGGGUUGUAAACCUCUUUUAGCAGGGAAGAAGCGAAAGUGACGGUACCUGCAGAAAAAGCACCGGCUAACUACGUGCCAGCAGCCGCCGUAA
Molecule: ribosomal RNA, 484 nt
Filed under: uncultured bacterium
Lineage: Bacteria
Description: partial 16S ribosomal RNA
Rfam family: Bacterial small subunit ribosomal RNA
Source: RNAcentral